GUGUGCGCACUUGUAUGGUUUCUCUCCAGUAUGAAUUCUCUCAUGUGCUUUCAGGCAAUGUAACCAAGUGAAACUCUUUCUACAAUGUGAGCACUUGUAUGGUUUCACUCCAGUAUGAAUUAUCUCGUGUUUUUUCAGGUCUUGUGACUGAGCGAAACUCUUUUCACAGUGUGAGCACUUGUAAGGUUUUUCUCCAGUAUGGAUUCUCUCGUGUUUUUUCAGGUGAUGUGACUGAGUGAAACUCUUUUCACAGUGUGAGCACUUGUAAGGUUUUUCUCCAGUAUGGAUUCUCUCGUGUUUUUUCAGGUUUUGUGACUGAGUGAAACUCUUUUCACAGUGUGAGCACUUGUAAGGUUUUUCUCCAGUAUGGAUUCUCUUGUGUUUUUUCAGGUUUUCAGACAGAUUGAAACUCUUUCCACAGUGUGAGCACUUGUAAGGUUUUUCUCCAGUAUGGAUUCUCUCGUGUUUUUUCAGGUCUUGUGACUGAGUGAAACUCUUUUCACAGUGUGAGCACUUGUAAGGUUUUUCUCCAGUAUGGAUUAUCUCAUGUGUUUUCAGGUUUUGUGACUGAGUG
Myxocyprinus asiaticus (Chinese sucker) is the source of this 574-nucleotide long non-coding RNA. RefSeq lists it as uncharacterized. Lineage: Eukaryota; Metazoa; Chordata; Actinopteri; Cypriniformes; Catostomidae. The transcript is spliced from 4 exons. The record is from RefSeq and is a predicted model, not a curated record.